GAUGGUAUAGCUCAGUGGUAGAGCAUCUGCUUAGCAUGGAAGAGGCCCUGGGUUCAAUACCCAGUACCUCCA
RNAcentral lists this transfer RNA (72 nucleotides) under Camelus bactrianus (Bactrian camel). It matches the Rfam family "tRNA". From Rfam's summary of the family: Transfer RNA (tRNA) molecules are approximately 80 nucleotides in length. RNAcentral also lists the same sequence under 1 other name. Lineage: Eukaryota; Metazoa; Chordata; Mammalia; Artiodactyla; Camelidae. The record is from Rfam by way of RNAcentral.